Molecule: long non-coding RNA, 1437 nt
Organism: Grus americana (Whooping crane)
Lineage: Eukaryota; Metazoa; Chordata; Aves; Gruiformes; Gruidae
Exons: 2
Source: RefSeq, a predicted model, not a curated record
GUGACCGAGUAAGUAAAGCUAAAUAAAUGAAGCCGGAGAAACACAAGCCAAAGUGAAGUAUUGCUUAUUCUUAAUCCUGCCUCAUUUGGGGCACUUCUUUGUGAGAAUCCCGAAGUAGCUGAAGAUCCCUUCAAAGAAAAGCUAGUUAUAGAAAACUUAUCCCCGGCGCUCAUGUGACCAGAGGUCUGAAGUUGGGACCCCAUCCAUCCCUCAGUGAAGCCAGCAGGAGUCUUCCCAUUGACUUCAAUGGGCUUUUCAUCCAGCCUCUCCUUGGCCUUAAGUUCUUUGUGGUUACACUUCUUUCCUCCUUUCCUGAUAAUGCAGACAGGUUUCGAUGAAGUUCGCAUGCGGUACACAUCCCUCACACCCUGAGACAUGAGCUUCUAAGAGGGAUGCAGGUACCCAGAGCCUCGUCCCUGGGAGAAGGGACAUCUGUGGUGGCUGUGGUGGAAAGUGGUGGGAUACUGUCAGCCUCUGCAUCUCCACUGCCUCCUGCAGCUUCCCAUGGUCUUAUGGUUCAGAAGAAAUUUUAUUUCAAAGCUUGAAUUUUUGUGAGUCUUGUUGAUUCUUCCUGUUUUCUUUGAAUGCCAGCUGUUCCAGGAUUAAGUAAGUAAACCAUCUGAUUGACAAAAGCCACCAGCCUCGAACCCAGAGUUUUGGGUGUAUCUUUUAAGUGGUGUGCCACAAACCAAUAGCGAAUGCCCAUGUCAUCUAACAGAGCCGAAUCUGGCAGGGUGAUGUUAGUAUCUAACAGCAGAUACUGGUAGCUCAUGGAGAUUGGUAAAUGCACGUUCAAAAUCCAUGUUCUGGAAAUCCCCUCAGUUUAAAAAAAUGUUCCUUUCCACUAGGGGUACUUGUUAAGUUUGGGGCGAUUUGUGCUGCUGCCAUUAGAAUAUUGAAAAUGUGUUUCUGAAUGAAGUUAAUCCAUUACUUCGCAAUUCUGAGCUUCUGGAAGCAAAAGCCCACGUGGGCUGCUGCAUGCCACUGAGAUAUGCUGCACCAGUUCUGCAGUCUUCGAAACCUUCAUAAUCUUUUGUGUUUGCUGGUAGGGGCAGCCCACCCAGCAUAAAAAGGCAUGCAAAUGAUUUUAACAGGCAAGCAUUGUGUUGACCAAGGUUUCCAGUGUUAAACUAUCCAGAAAGAUUUAGACAAAUUUUUCCCUAUGGUAAAAUGCAUAUGUUAGUUUAAAGAUGAAGAGAAAUGAAAUGUGUUAUUUAUAGCCUGAAAUAUCCUUAAUAUUGCACACAUGUGUAUUUCACUUAAUCAUUGUUUUGAUAAAUGCCCACGCUGCUAAACACCUAAUGUACAACAGGAUGUGGUUCCCACUUAAAUUAGCAGAUGCUAUAGUUUCUGAUUGUUAAUGAUGGACCUGUUUGCCAAUAAAAACAACUGAUGGAUCAGCAUGUGUGAGCUACUGAACCUCAGCAAAAGCCCAAA